GAUGAAGAACGCAGCGAAAUGCGAUACGUAAUGUGAAUUGCAAAUUCAGUGAAUCAUCGAGUCUUUGAACGCACAUUGCGCCCCCUGGUAUUCCGGGGGGCAUGCCUGUCCGAGCGUCAUUUCUGCCCUCAAGCACGGCUUGUGUGUUGGGCCCCGUCCUCCGAUCCCGGGGGACGGGCCCGAAAGGCAGCGGCGGCACCGCGUCCGGUCCUCGAGCGUAUGGGGCUUUGUCACCCGCUCUGUAGGCCCGGCCGGCGCUUGCCGAUCAACCCAAAUUUUUAUCCAGGUUGACCUCGGAUCAGGUAGGGAUACCCGCUGAACUUAAGCAUAUCAAUAAGCGGAGGA
This 345-nucleotide unclassified non-coding RNA is filed under the name soil metagenome. RNAcentral's name for it is "partial contains 5.8S ribosomal RNA, internal transcribed spacer 2, and large subunit ribosomal RNA". The stretch from base 1 to 119 matches the Rfam family "5.8S ribosomal RNA", at positions 35 to 154 of the family's 154-position model. The record is from RNAcentral.